UUUAGUUUAUAAUUUUGUUUAGUUAGAUUCAGACUGUUCCAAUACUAACACUUGUGAUCUAAUGCCAGGGAUGUGGUAGAGCUCCCUGGUUGAUGCAUGGAAUGUUUAGAUCUAAUGGAGGGUGUGGUUAUUAUGUCAAGAAGCCUGCUUUUCUAUUGAAUGUUGAUCCAAAUGGUCAAGUUUUCGAUCCCAAGGAUAAAUUGCAAGUGAAAAGGACUUUUCAGGUCAAAGUUUAUAUGGGAGAUGGAGGGCAUUUAGAUCUUAAACAAGCACACCUUGAUCUAUGCUCACGCCAGAUUUCUAUUGCAGGGUUGGCAUAGCGGGGGUGCCAGACUGCCAGUAGAUCAGAUAAUGAAGAAAACGAAGACAAAGGAGGACAACUGGGCGCCUGUUUGGCGGGAAGAGUUUGAAUUUCCAUUGACUGUACCUGCACUUGCUUUGCUUCAAGUUGAAAUUCAGGAGUAUGACAUGUCCAAGAAGGAUGACUUUGCCGGCCAAACUUGUUUGCCAGCCAGUCUCCGAGUUGAAAAAAGGGAUACCUGCUGUUCCCCUCUUCGAUCGAGAGGGAGAAAAGCUGAGCUCAGUAAGGCUUCUGAUGCGUUUUGAUUUUGUCUGAGACAGUGAAAAAGUAGAAAGUCCAUUUCUCUGUAUUUUAUUUGGUUAAACUUUUCCAUAGUUAUUUGAUCACCCUGUAUAUAAUGUAUAUUUUAAUCUGCUGAACAUCAUGUGAUUCACGGAGUUCUGUUUUAA
Molecule: long non-coding RNA, 750 nt
Organism: Mangifera indica (mango)
Lineage: Eukaryota; Viridiplantae; Streptophyta; Magnoliopsida; Sapindales; Anacardiaceae
Exons: 2
Source: RefSeq, a predicted model, not a curated record